This 123-nucleotide transfer RNA is filed under the name Oscillospiraceae bacterium. RNAcentral's name for it is "tRNA-OTHER". It matches the Rfam family "tRNA". From Rfam's summary of the family: Transfer RNA (tRNA) molecules are approximately 80 nucleotides in length. Their secondary structure includes four short double-helical elements and three loops (D, anti-codon, and T loops). Lineage: Bacteria; Bacillati; Bacillota; Clostridia; Eubacteriales; Oscillospiraceae. The record is from RNAcentral.
GGGCUCGUAGCUCAGCUGGGAGAGCGAGUGGCCCGUAAAGCAACGCAAAAAUCCGAGAUUUUUCGGGUGCCCAGAAAGAAGAAACAGACGAGGUCGAGGGUUCGAUCCCCUUCGAGUCCACCA